UGCUUUGAAAAAACUGUAAAACGUCUUUUGCCGAGCUUGGAUUCAUUUCCCUUAGCAGAUGAUUUCAGUAACUUCACAUCAUUUUUCAUCUGGCAAGUCAAGGGAAGCCAAGCUUUGAGAGAAAUAAAGCUUGCUCCUUGGAGUGGAACAAUGCCGCAGAAGGUGAAACAACUUCAUUCUCCAUGCAGACAUGCGUGCCCUUCAAGUACUUGUGGGGAGAGGCCGAGCAGGGGAAGAAUUGGUCCACGUCUACCAAAGGAGUCCCCUGAAGCAUGCGGCCUUUACAGAGAAGAGAGAAUUGCCUCAGUUUCAGGCUUCAUGGGAGGUCAAGAGUAGAGCAAAGGCUGACCUUGAAGAAUUGGAGAAGACAUCAAGCUCCCUGCCCCCAACCUGGCCAAAGCUCCGGUAGGGGGAGAUUUGGGGGACCUCUUUCUUCUCCGCAGCCCUGACUGCUUGCACAUCUCCAGGAGCAGAGGGCGGGCCCCUCCGGAAUGGCCCUGCCAAGCCCUGGCCCCUGGAAGCCCUCCUCAGGAUUACACUCCCUGCUGGGAGGAAUAUAAAUAUGGUUACUGCAUACCAUCUUUAAACAUCAUACAAAAGAAGAACAACCAGGUCCAAAUGAUAAUAUUUUGAAAAGCCACAGGGAGCUUCUGCUGCUGUUGAGUUAGAACUGUGCCUCUUUCGUGCGAUUAAGGGAGCCCUUGUGAGUUUUUUCUUUUCCUUAGAGACAGAACAUAGUUUCUCCCCUCCUACUUCAGCACUUUACAAUUUUUAAGGUUUUUAAGUGCACUGCAUUUACAUUUACUACUCACUCUCUAAAUGAAAGCAGGCUAAAAACAUUAAUGAGCCUCUUGAUUACUGCCGCCCUUGAAAAAUUAAUUAAUGAUAAUGCAGCAUACACUUAACAUUCCUUGUCUCCGUGACUGGAAAUGUGAGCGGCAUCACCAAACGAUCUGUAUUUUAAUCCCCCACGCACCGAAGAGCCACCAGGUGUGUUUCCAGCUAAGGAGUUGGUAUUCCAGGCCCCUUUUGGUUGGUUUUUCCUGGAGGAAAGCUAUUCCCUGGAUAAUUAAGUGACAGCACUCACUUCUCAUAGCCUGGAGGUUUUUGUUUUCCCCUAAAGUUGGUGGUUUUAGCUGGAAGAUCCUAGAGUUUGUCUUGUUGUUUCUUUCUCAGUAAACAAGCAUCAAGCACCAGCACUUACUUGUCCCUUCUCCUGUAAUAAUAACCAACACAUAUUUUGCUUAAUUUGUCAGGGACUGUGUCUUUGUGUGUGUGUGAGUGUGUGUGUGUGUAGUUACUUAUUCUCACAAUAACUCUGGAGUAGGUCCUAUUAUUAUCCAUUUUAUAAAGAAUGAAAUAAAGAUGCAGAGAUGUCAAUCAAGUUACUUAAGGAUGCACAGAGAAAAAGCAGCAGAGUCAGGAUCUGAACUCAAAAAGCUGGGCACCAGACUCCCUGCCUUAACCAUUAAUGACAUCUUACAGUCACCCAUAUGGACAUUUUGAUCUGGUGUGUGUGUAUGUGUUUUAAACUCAAAAUAUGUUGAUUGGGAUGGUGUCCCACUCAUCUUGGUGCAGGACGCUUUUAGUGCUGCUCCUGCCAAAAGGGACAUCCUUCAAUGACCUUGCUUUGCCUCCUGUAGGCUGGCUGAGGACAGGAGAGCAAGCGAUGUGCAAAACAACCAUUUGAGCGUGGGUAAAGGCCAAGAUGAUUCUACAGCACGCAGGCCUCAUUUCACAGCCAUGAGCUAGGAAUGGGGCUCUCACUAGGCAUUUGCUUUGUGAGUCCUUUUUUAUUCUGGGAGGCAUGAAGGAGAUCCUUGAGCAAAUUCACUGCUGGAAAAGGGUGUACAGAAGUUGGCAUCAUUAUUCCCAUUUUUUAGAUGAGGACCUUGAGGCUCAGAGAGGAUUACUGACUUUCUUUUUUUCAGGAUCAGGCAACUUUGGUUUUUUGUGUGAAUUUGCAAAACUGCGAACUGACUGAAUCCAAAGUUGCUAUCUUUCUACUAUACCACACCAUCUCCAUGCAGUUCUGCUUGGAGUCACCAAGAUGGCCAUUCAUUGAUAAUCCUUUCUGAUCUCAGAGCUAACAUAGAUUGAGGCAACCUUACAAAUGAGUACUUUCUACUUGAAAGAGCUGUGCAACUGUCACCUACACAGCCAAGAAAUCUGACAUAAAGGUGGGGACCAGAGUGGCAUUCAUGAACAUGCUGGUGUCAACCACAUGUUGCAAGCACAAAACAAUGAAGCAGCAAAGCCUCAGGAUGUCAUAUCAAGAAGGAGCAUUGGUUGCUUCCAGGCUUUGGAGACCCUGAACCUGGCACAGUGCUUGGAACAUAAUAGGUGCUCAAUAAAUGCUUGUUGAAUGAGUGAGUCUUCAGUUAUUUGUCUGAGCACCCUUUCUCCCAAGGGAGGCAGGGAGCAAAUUUAUGCACAAGAACAGGAUCUGCCUUGCCAAAAAAAAUGCAGAGAAAUGCAUGAUGGAUCAGAACAUGAAAAGUGACCAGUUUGUAAAGAAACCUGACGUGACAGUUUAGGUCAGGGAUCCUUAUAGAAAUUAUCUCAUCCAGUCUCAAAGGUGUGCAUGGCUUGAGUGGCUGGGAUUCAGCUUCACUCUUGCAGGGUCCUCUAUGGACUGCUAGCUGACAGAAACUUAGUCCCAUGGCUCUGCUGACUGCAGGAUGAUAAGUUUGCCUCUGACAAUGAUAUAAGGUCCGUCAAGACCUUAUAUCAAGACGUUUUAUCAUGUAAAAAUAAAACAAAACAGAACAAGACAAAAUGGAAAAGACCUAAACUGUUCCAUUUAUAACCCCUUGGCAAUAAUCACGCUAUGGAAAUAAACUGAGUCUACUUUUGCAGAAUUCCGACCUCUUAGGGUUUCCUUGUUACAGUAAUGUGUGGCACGGAAAGGAAUAGUAUUACACAAGACAGGUAAGGCACCUUGGAGAGAGUGGUGGAUCGAAUUGUGUAUCCUAGUUUGGACAUGGCCUUGGUCUUGGUCUACAUUCUGGUGUGUAAGGACCCAUUGUGAAUAAGAUCUCUUUGCUUAUAAUUGUGCCUAAGAGCCUCCUCCUGAGUGCCUCUUUGUUGCUCAGAUGUGGCCCUCACUCUCUAGCUAAGCCAAUUUGGCAGGUGAAAUCACUGC
Molecule: long non-coding RNA, 3145 nt
Organism: Choloepus didactylus (southern two-toed sloth)
Lineage: Eukaryota; Metazoa; Chordata; Mammalia; Pilosa; Megalonychidae
Exons: 3
Source: RefSeq, a predicted model, not a curated record